UCUCACGUUUCUCUGGAUCACUCAGCACCUCAUAGGCUUGUGCCAACUCCUUGAAUUUUUCGGGGUCACCACCCUUAUCAGGAUGGUUCUUGAUAGCGGCCUUUCUAUAAGCCUUCUUUAGAUCGUCUUGCGACGCAUUCUUCGAGACUCCGAGAAUCUCAUAGUAUUUGGUGUUAUCGCUCUUCUUCGGCCUUCCAAACAUUUUUGCCUCACCGAUCGGAUCUCAACAAACCCUUAGGAGAGCGAAAAGGGCGAUCUUGAAAUGAAAGAUCGGGUAGAGAGAUCGGUGACCUGAGAGCAGAGAAACGAAAAAGGGUCGCUCGAGACGGCGAGGUAGAGAGAG
This 343-nucleotide unclassified non-coding RNA is filed under the name Hevea brasiliensis (rubber tree). Lineage: Eukaryota; Viridiplantae; Streptophyta; Magnoliopsida; Malpighiales; Euphorbiaceae. The record is from RNAcentral.